GAUGAACGCUGGCGGCGUGCCUAAUACAUGCAAGUCGAGCGAACGGACGAGAAGCUUGCUUCUCUGAUGUUAGCGGCGGACGGGUGAGUAACACGUGGAUAACCUACCUAUAAGACUGGGAUAACUUCGGGAAACCGGAGCUAAUACCGGAUAAUAUUUUGAACCGCAUGGUUCAAAAGUGAAAGACGGUCUUGCUGUCACUUAUAGAUGGAUCCGCGCUGCAUUAGCUAGUUGGUAAGGUAACGGCUUACCAAGGCAACGAUGCGUAGCCGACCUGAGAGGGUGAUCGGCCACACUGGAACUGAGACACGGUCCAGACUCCUACGGGAGGCAGCAGUAGGGAAUCUUCCGCAAUGGGCGAAAGCCUGAUGGAGCAACGCCGCGUGAGUGAUGAAGGUCUUCGGAUCGUAAAACUCUGUUAUUAGGGAAGAACAUAUGUGUAAGUAACUGUGCACAUCUUGACGGUACCUAAUCAGAAAGCCACGGCUAACUACGUG
Molecule: ribosomal RNA, 497 nt
Filed under: uncultured bacterium
Lineage: Bacteria
Description: partial 16S ribosomal RNA
Rfam family: Bacterial small subunit ribosomal RNA
Source: RNAcentral